CCUACGGGAGGCAGCAGUGGGGAAUAUUGGACAAUGGGCGAAAGCCUGAUCCAGCAAUGCCGCGUGAGUGAUGAAGGCCUUAGGGUUGUAAAGCUCUUUUACCAGGGAUGAUAAUGACAGUACCUGGAGAAUAAGCUCCGGCUAACUCCGUGCCAGCAGCCGCGGUAAUACGGAGGGAGCUAGCGUUGUUCGGAAUUACUGGGCGUAAAGCGUACGUAGGCGGUUAUUCAAGUCAGAGGUGAAAGCCUGGAGCUCAACUCCAGAACUGCCUUUGAAACUAGAUAGCUAGAAUCUUGGAGAGGUGAGUGGAAUUCCGAGUGUAGAGGUGAAAUUCGCAGAUAUUCGGAAGAACACCAGUGGCGAAGGCGACUCACUGGACAAGUAUUGACGCUGAGGUACGAAAGCGUGGGGAGCAAACAGGAUUAGAUACCCUGGUAGUCCACGCCGUAAACGAUGAUAACUAGCUGUUCGGGCUCUACGAGCUUGAGUGGCGCAGCUAACGCAUUAAGUUAUCCGCCUGGGGAGUACGGUCGCAAGAUUAAAACUCAAAGGAAUUGACGG
This 561-nucleotide ribosomal RNA is filed under the name uncultured bacterium. RNAcentral's name for it is "bacterial SSU rRNA". It matches the Rfam family "Bacterial small subunit ribosomal RNA", at positions 338 to 916 of the family's 1533-position model. The record is from RNAcentral.